This is a long non-coding RNA of Aedes aegypti (yellow fever mosquito), 433 nucleotides long. RefSeq lists it as uncharacterized. The transcript is spliced from 2 exons. NCBI's taxonomy places the organism in Eukaryota, Metazoa, Arthropoda, Insecta, Diptera, Culicidae. The record is from RefSeq and is a predicted model, not a curated record.
CGAGCACUGGUAACAAGGGGUGGAUCACUUUUUCAAUGUGCAUCGAAUGUACAUCGAUUUGCAUCAAAUGUAUAUUUUCGACAUUCGCAUCAACUUAGCUUUGGCAUUUACAACAUUAUGUUAUCAACGAAUUGUUCCAUAGCAACGCGUAGACAUUUGUUUGUUGUGAAUGUUCAAAAUUGUUUUUUGUUUCUUUCCUAUGCAAUCCAUUUGCUAAUUUUUAUUUGUGUCAGGCGAUCGAGCAAAUAUUUCAAAAUGGAAUUACUAGCAAGCAGGAGUAGUUGGAAAUCCGUUCUCGGGAAGCCCGUAAUCUGUAAAGCGACUCCACCCUACUGAAGGUGGACCGGAGCUUCAUUUGAUUGUACAAAUCUGUAUCGACUUGUAGAAAUCCGAUUGAUCGAAAUGAAAAAUACAACAAAUUGUUAAACUUUGA